Molecule: ribosomal RNA, 1554 nt
Filed under: Serratia marcescens
Lineage: Bacteria; Pseudomonadati; Pseudomonadota; Gammaproteobacteria; Enterobacterales; Yersiniaceae
Also listed under: 1 other name
Description: partial 23S ribosomal RNA
Rfam family: Bacterial large subunit ribosomal RNA
Source: RNAcentral
UAGUUGCAAGGUAUAGACCCGAAACCCGGUGAUCUAGCCAUGGGCAGGUUGAAGGUUGGGUAACACUAACUGGAGGACCGAACCGACUAAUGUUGAAAAAUUAGCGGAUGACUUGUGGCUGGGGGUGAAAGGCCAAUCAAACCGGGAGAUAGCUGGUUCUCCCCGAAAGCUAUUUAGGUAGCGCCUCGUGAACUCAUCUUCGGGGGUAGAGCACUGUUUCGGCUAGGGGGCCAUCCCGGCUUACCAAACCGAUGCAAACUCCGAAUACCGAAGAAUGUUAUCACGGGAGACACACGGCGGGUGCUAACGUCCGUCGUGAAGAGGGAAACAACCCAGACCGCCAGCUAAGGUCCCAAAGUCAUGGUUAAGUGGGAAACGAUGUGGGAAGGCACAGACAGCCAGGAUGUUGGCUUAGAAGCAGCCAUCAUUUAAAGAAAGCGUAAUAGCUCACUGGUCGAGUCGGCCUGCGCGGAAGAUGUAACGGGGCUAAACCAUGCACCGAAGCUGCGGCAGCGACGCUUAGGCGUUGUUGGGUAGGGGAGCGUUCUGUAAGCCGUUGAAGGUGGCCUGUGAGGGUUGCUGGAGGUAUCAGAAGUGCGAAUGCUGACAUAAGUAACGAUAAAGCGGGUGAAAAGCCCGCUCGCCGGAAGACCAAGGGUUCCUGUCCAACGUUAAUCGGGGCAGGGUGAGUCGACCCCUAAGGCGAGGCUGAAAAGCGUAGUCGAUGGGAAACAGGUUAAUAUUCCUGUACUUGGUGUUACUGCGAAGGGGGGACGGAGAAGGCUAGGCUGGCCGGGCGACGGUUGUCCCGGUUUAAGCGUGUAGGGGGUGUGACCUGGUAAAUCCGGUUGCAUACUAACCCUGAGGCGUGAUGACGAUGCACUACGGUGCAGAAGUAGUUGAUGCCCUGCUUCCAGGAAAAUCCUCUAAGCUCCAGGUAACAUUAAAUCGUACCCCAAACCGACACAGGUGGUCAGGUAGAGAAUACCAAGGCGCUUGAGAGAACUCGGGUGAAGGAACUAGGCAAAAUGGUGCCGUAACUUCGGGAGAAGGCACGCUGGCAUGUAGGUGAAGUCCCUUGCGGAUGGAGCUGAAGCCAGUCGAAGAUACCAGCUGGCUGCAACUGUUUAAUAAAAACACAGCACUGUGCAAACACGAAAGUGGACGUAUACGGUGUGACGCCUGCCCGGUGCUGGAAGGUUAAUUGAUGGGGUCAGCCGCAAGGCGAAGCUCUUGAUCGAAGCCCCAGUAAACGGCGGCCGUAACUAUAACGGUCCUAAGGUAGCGAAAUUCCUUGUCGGGUAAGUUCCGACCUGCACGAAUGGCGUAAUGAUGGCCAGGCUGUCUCCACCCGAGACUCAGUGAAAUUGAACUCGCUGUGAAGAUGCAGUGUACCCGCGGCAAGACGGAAAGACCCCGUGAACCUUUACUAUAGCUUGACACUGAACAUUGAGCCUUGAUGUGUAGGAUAGGUGGGAGGCUUUGAAGCGUGGACGCCAGUCUGCGUGGAGCCAUCCUUGAAAUACCACCCUUUAAUGUUUGAUGUUCUAACUC